This 14929-nucleotide long non-coding RNA is filed under the name Coffea arabica (coffee). RNAcentral describes it as "long non-coding RNA (CARA_LNC001607)". The record is from RNAcentral. Lineage: Eukaryota; Viridiplantae; Streptophyta; Magnoliopsida; Gentianales; Rubiaceae.
AAUGUUAGUGAAAAUCUUUCAACGGACAGACCCGUUUUGCAGUUCAAGCUGCGUUCAUUAGGAUUGGAAUUGUGUAACACGAGGCUUUAUUUCUUUUGCUCGUAUCUUGAUCAAAUUUCACGUUGGGUUGAUAUAUAACUUUGAUGCAGGUCUGGAGAGCAUCUGUAGGGGAACUUCUUGGCUCAGCCGUUUUGGUCUUCAUGAUUGACACCAUAGUCAUAUCAACCAUCGAGACAGAUGUGAAAAUGCCAAACCUGAUUUUAUCAAUUCUCGUGGCCAUUAUCAUUGCGAUUCUUCUACUAGCCGUGCAUCCAGUUUCUGGAGGCCACAUAAACCCCAUCAUCUCAUUCUCCGCGGCAUUAGUCGGGCUUAUAUCAAUGUCGCGCGCCAUAAUCUAUAUCAUCGCUCAAUGUGCGGGCGGCGUGCUAGGGGCACUAGCACUUAAAGCGGUGGUUAGCAGUAACAUCGAAAGAACCUUCUCACUGGGAGGUUGCACCCUCACCGUAAUAGCACCGGGUCCCCAAGGGCCAGUGACAAUAGGCCUGGAGACUGCCCAGGCGUUUUGGCUGGAGGUCUUUUGUAGCUUCGUGUUCUUGUUCGCUUCAGUCUGGAUGGCAUACGACCAUCGUCAGAGAAACUCCAUUGGCCUGAUUCCUGUUUUCUCAAUCAUCGGAAUCGUGCUGGGUCUUCUGGUGUUUGUAUCGACGACAGUCACUGCUACUAAGGGUUAUGCGGGCGCAGGGAUGAACCCUGCUAGGUGUUUCGGCGCAGCAGUUGUUAGAGGAGGCCACCUGUGGGAGGAGCACUGGAUAUUCUGGGCAGGGCCUGCUGUAGCUUGUUUUGCAUUCUACGUUUACACGCGGAUCAUUCCUAAUAAUCAUUUUCAUGCAGAAGGGUUCAAGCAUGAUUUCUUUGGCAUCCUAAGGACUAUUAGCAGGCUGGAACGUUAAACAUGGUAGAAAUUUACCAGGAUGGAGUUGUUGCCUUAGCCUAUAGCUAAAAAGGGGAAGACGAUGUAUGAUACUUUCCUAUAUAUACGUGAUUGUGAUCGGUGAUCAUAUUCGUACUAACAAGCUAGACUUUCUGUAUUUCGAUGGAGAAUGUCUUCUAUGAUAGUAAACCCUUGUAUGGUAUUUACUUCCAAUCGUGUCAAGUGUAAACGGAUGUUGUUCCCAAGGGAACAGAUUAUGAAUGUCAAACUUCCUAUCCCGUCGGGUGUAAACUGAUGCUGUUCCCAAGAGAACAGAUUAUGAAUGUCAACUAUUGAGGUGUGGAUGUAAAUGUUGCCAUGCCUGCCGAAAUUGUUGAGCAUUAAGUUCAAAAUUUUUAAUACGCGACCGCUGGCGCCUCAAUAAUUAGUUGCAUGUCUGAUGUCUAAAUUUCAUCUUCUUGUUAACGAUCGCCCUUGCAUUUUGCCUUCACCUUUUUCGUCUUUCGGGUUGAGAUUUGAGAAGAAAGAAAUCAGGAAGGUUCCAAGGCCCACCACAAGACUAGAAUACAAUAUCACAGAUCGUCUGCAUGCAAAUGAGAAAUUGAGAAUAGGCCGUCUGAAUAAUCGGGCCGACUCAGUCAUCAACACUUCCAAGUGGCCUUUUUGAUGUGCAAGUCAAUUUGGGAGUUUAUAUAUAUUCAACAAUCGCAUUUAUGAGUUUACCAAUUAGGAAAAUCAGAAAUACAACAAUUAUAAGUUUAUCGUAUUUGGGAAUUGAGAAUUUCAACUUGCAUGAGUUUAUCCUUUCGAAAAAUUUCGAAAUUUAACGCGUACUGAUUCUCGUUAAAUGUUACGAAACCCAACACAUUUAACAACCGGGACAUUAACCAAAUAGCUUUAAGAUCCCUGAUUUAACAAACCCAAUACAUUUAAUGUAUAUAUAUGCUAAAAAGGUGAUUGAAAAAUAUAUUUACGAAAAAUAUAAAAAAAAAUUUUGGAUAAAAAUUACAUUCCAAAUAAGGUCCAGCGCUGCGGUUGGCGUCUGCUCUAGCUCACCAUCCAUCACCAUAAUUGCAGGGGGCCAUUCGGGUUGAAAGUUGAAACACUUUUGAGGUCCUUUAUAUCGUUAACUCCUUGUCGAUAUUGCUUCGUGUUUAAGCUGCGUCUUACCCUCUUCUAUGGGAAUCCCAAAAGUGUCAAGUCAUUAAUUGAUUGCUUAAUCAUCAAUUAUUCAGCUGUGCUAUGCGUCCUUGUAUUUGUAUCAACCACAGUCCGCCCACAAUCACAAUCGAAAGGCGCAACGGAUCUCGUCGUAUAUUACUCAGUUAAUAAUUAUUAAAUUUUUAAAAAAAUAAAAAAUUAAAUUAUGAUAUUUAUAAAGGAGAAAUAACUUAUUAAGGCUUGGCAUAAUUGGUAAAUAAUUAGGGGUGAGUCCCCACCCACUGACGGAAAUGUACAUUUUAGGUCAAUCAUUUUUUGAUCAUUACUCUUGUGUAUUAGCGUACCUUGGAAGACGAUUGCAGAUCCGUCUCGCCCUUCUUAUCAUUUAUUUUUUAAAAGCUAAUUAUAUUAAUUUAUUUUUGUAUUUCACAUGUUCAUCUUAAAUUCAUCAUUGAUUGUUCUCAAAAGAAUUCUCAUGCCCUGAAACAAACAUCCAAAGGAAUAAAAGAAAAAGGGAAAAAAAAUAAAAGAUUCCAAAAUCAAUAAAAACUAUAAUAAGCAUAAUCCCUUUCAUUUAUUAUACAUCUAUUAAACUCUUUUCUCAAAAAAAAAAAAAAAAGAAGAUGAUGAUGAUCUCUACAAAUGAAUAUUAUAAACAAAUUAUAAUCUUUCGUAUUUGGAUUGUAAUUUGCUCAAUAAAGUUAAUUAGUUAACUCAUAAAAUAAUAUUUUUUGUACAUAUAUAAAAAUAUAUAUAUAUAUAUAUAUAUGCAAGGCUCGACCCUUUUUUGAUCCGAUCAAAAGAUUAUCUAAUCUUUAGAAAUGGAUUGGUACGGAUUCCACCAUCAAUGGGUUAACAGAUUUUUGGCCCUAACCUAAUCGGCAUACCCUAACCUAAUCGGUAAAAUUGGUUUAAUAACACGAUACGAGCCCAUUCAACCGUUCUAAAGUUCAAAGUCUUUCAACACACACACACGCACGCACAAGGCCUGCGCACACAAAACAAGAAUAAAUAGCAUGACAAUGACCCAACCAAAAAAAGAAAAGGAAAGGAAAAGAGGAAUGAAAUGAAAUGCUCUUCAAAUUUUCUAAAUUCUUUCUUAUUGGAUAAUAAGCCAGUACUCGAAUAUUUCUUCUCAUGACGAUCGAAUAUUUCAAUUCUGGUCAUAGGGUCGGACUAGAACAUCAAAUCUCUGAAGAGAAAGAUUGUCAUAUUGUAGUUGGCCUGGAAACAAGAACAACUUGUUUUGGCAUUGUAAAUUUGCACCUCAUCCAGAUUCUGUAUAGAGAACGAAAUCAUCUACGUAGCUUAAAAUUCAUCUGUGUUCAAUUUUAGUCGUUAAAAGUUACAAGGACUAUUAUUCCUGCUUUCUUCAUAAUUCAACAGGUCAUAUUUGUCAACAGCAUUAUGAAGAAGGAGCUUCCAAAAGCGUGGAGGAGGACGCAAGCGGCACAUGCAGGGCAGAGUUUGUGGUCCUUUUGUGGAAACAGAUAUUGGAUUGCCUUCCAGUUGCAGCAUGGUACUCCCAAGUAUUUCAGUCAGAAGCUUCUUAAACUCAUCUUCUUUAACCAACUUCCUGUCAUCCGCAUCUAACUUCUUGAAAGCUUCAUUUAUGAUUUUGUCGAUCUGCAGAGAUUAGCUAAAGCGUUUGGUAAGAUGAGCUUAAGACCGGAGAACCUCUAAUCAGCCUGAAAAGUACCCAGUUCGAGGUGAAACUGCACCAGGCUUGAGGACUGUUCCUUUUACACAUUAAGCCAAAUGCAGAUUCUAUAAAUAGGUCAGAAAGCUAAUCGAUUAACUUGUACAUAGCUAUUUCUUCAAUUAUCCCUUACUAUGAUUUCCCAAUUGGAACGGCAAGUCUCAUCUCAUAAUAAGUAGUAAAAAUGAGCUAACCUCGAAAGACUGAUUACCUGAUCAACAGCACCCAGUGGGCCUAAGCCAGAUGAUGGGACCAGAACAUCCAGAGCAACACGCAGAUUUGUUUUGACAAUUUUCCACUGCGAUCUCUUGGAAUCAAGGCUUGCCAUAUCGGCUGCAACAACUUGGCCGAGUCAUGACCGGAACGGGGCUAACAAUAUGAUACCGUUACCCGCAUCGCCUCUGAAACUAAGUCGGAUACAUAUCGCGGAGAACUCUGCGAUAUGCAAUAAUAUGAUACAGAAUCGUCGAAUAGUGGCGAGAACUUGGCGAUAUCUACUGUUAUGAAUCGGAAACAAGAGAAAGGAAAAUUUCAAGACACAAACCUAUAGCUAAAUACUAAAGCUUUCCCACCCCUGUGACAUGAAACAAAACAAAAUGAAAUGUCACGCAAAAGGACGUUCAUAGAGCUUCUGGAAAGUUUUUAUUCCUGCAACUUCAGCCGAUGAAUGCAUCACAUUUCACGUACAUAUCAAUCAAGGAAGUCCCGAAAUGUAUAUGAAAAUCUAAACCAGUUCCGGUGCUCAUCCGAUGAACGCACUUUCCCAGCCAAAACAUGAUAACUCUGCAUGCACAAGACUAAUAAAAGAAAACAAACAGUAUCCAAAGCAAAUUUGAUAGGUAUGUAAAAAGAAUAAAAAUAUGUUCUUACUAUAUUUGAUAGAAUUCAAAAGUUAUACAUAAUUCAUGAAUUUUAAUAUUUUCGUGACAUUUAUUAUUGUUGUUUUUUUAUUUUAGAAAAUUGAGAUCAAUCACCUAGGCAUUUCUGUUGAUCAAUGUAGGUGAAAAUGCUUAUUGAGAAUAUGGUGAAAAUGCUUGCUUCUUUAUGUCUUUAUAUUUUAUAACCUUAUUUGAUAGGUAUUUGUUUCUUUUGCUCUAUUGAAGUAAACACUGCUACUUUCUUUAUGUAUUGGGAUUCUCAUUGUGUUAUUUAAGAUAUGAUGGUUUUACUCUUAUAUUUAAUUUUUGAUGUCAUACAAAAUAGGAUUAGAAGACACACUUGAUGCUAAAAUCUUUUACUACUAAUGCUAUAGGUUUAUGGUAAUGGCAGCAUUACUUUAUUUAAAUAAUUAGUAACUAUAUAUGAUAAUGUAGAUAUUUAGUAAACUUAAUUUGAUAAUUGUGUUUGUUAUCCUAUUUUUUAUUUUUAGUAAUUUUUUUUAGAAUUUUUAAUGCUGCGACGAAUGUGAAACAAUCACGACCGCGAGGUGAUCAUGAUGGGCGACAGGGAACCAUGCUUGGAAUAGUUUGUAAGGAAGUAUCCAGAGCCUGUUGAGGAACAAAUUGGUGCACCUCAAUGUCCAAGCACAAUGUAUGAAAUCAUUUCAACACAUUCAAAAGACUUGCCAUAUAAUUUAUUUCUUCUUAGAUAAGUUGGACAAACUUGAGACGAAGAUGAUAAAGAUACCAAUAUUUGCACGGGCCCAUAGCUAAAUUAGAAUCCACUAGAAAAGAGUUAUCACUAAUAACGUGCACAGAAGACAGAAUAAGUUGGAUGCCACUGUUCUUAAUUUACCACCAGCAGAAAUUAUUGGUGUGUUUGGACAGGAAAUUAUUUGCCCAAAUAUAUUUAUUUACAUUAUUAUUACAAUUUUCAUUACACCUUUUUAUCUCACAUACAUCACAUCACAAAAAGUGCUGCAGUAAAAAUAUCUCAAUAUUAGUAUUAAUGUUACUUUACCAACCGUAUCCAGCUCAAAUUUGUUGGAUAGCAAUCUUCUUAUUCCGCUCCCAUCAAAUGUAUUCUCAGUAUGUGCAACAAUUACGGGCUGCUCUUUCAGAAGUUUUGCAACAGUCCCUGCGACAUUCUUGAACUCACCAAGAAUGUAGUCAAAUGAGACAGAAAACACCUAGAUGAGCCGCUAUAUCACCGAGGUACCGGAUUUUCUAUAAAUGCUGUCUAGAUAAGUCCAUCACUUGAUCUCAUGCUUUACGAAACUCUAAUUUUUCUACUGGGUACUCGACGGGCACUCGUUAGAAAGAUCCAUCGUUUAAAAUGAAAAAUAGCCCCUCUGUGACGAGUACCCGUUACAAACAGGCAAAGUAAAUUCCAUACUAUCAACGUAGAUUCCCUCUGUGACGAGACUUUCCACGAAGCAGCAGAAGACUAAAGUAUGGAGGAUGUCACCAGCAGAAGACUUUACAUAAUUCUAGUAUUAGAGUACGCUAUAUUCUUGGUGCUGUUACUUGUACCAGGUGAGAAGAAUUAGUCACUAGUUGAAACUGUCUCUUCUUUAAAUAUCGUUUGAAUUUUUAAGCUGUACACAGGAAGUAUGUAUGACAAGACUUUUUCACUCAAGCGUAUCUUGAAUCUUGGUUUUUUGUUUCACGGCUUCUGAAAUAUCCUAUAAUGAAAAGGAAUCCCCCUAAGAAUAUUUCUCGGAAUCAAAAGAUUAGAAGAAAAAAAUUGUAGAACGCUGGCAAACGAAUUUAGAAUCAGACAAGUUCGUUCUUUUCUGUCAAGAUUGGUAAUUACGUAGUUGCAUGAAUAAGCCAAAACCAUAUGCUGCCUCUAGCCAUUUCGCCUGUUCCCGAACUGGGAUCAAUCAGUUUUUGAGGUCGCUAAUUAAUCCUGAUUUUUACUUAGAAGUCAAAAAAAAUUACACGAGUUAAAUAAUGAAGUUUACGUGAAGGGUGAAAUGCAUCGAAAAAGAUUAGCAUUUUAAUAAUCGAAGGUAAGGUUGCAAAUGUAAGCCAGUCUUUUGAAAUUAAUCAAUUAUGACUCACUUACAGUCUCUCGUGAAUCAUGAUGAGUAAGAAAAAUCGUCGAAGAACCACAAUUUGAUUUCUAUAUCAUUGAGUUCAUAGCCAGGAAAUUCGUAAUUCAUCAAUUGCGCAGUUAUAUUCCCUCCUCCAGGAGAAUACGAAAAGAAAAAGAAGAAAAAUAUUUGUUCCCCUGCUAAUUUUUUAUACAACGGGGUAUCUUUCAGGCUUAAAAAAAAGGGUUAAUUACAUUCACCUCCCCUGAGGUUUGACCAUAUUACCAAUCAAUCCCUGUAAUCUGUCCAAAUAACAGUCUCACCCUUUGAAUGAUCAAACAUUUAACAAAAACCCCCUUAAUGCCGAAAAUGCCCUUUUUGAAGCCAUAUUGCAUUAAAAAAAGAACAUAUUUUUAUUUAUUAACCUUCAAGUAAUCCAAAAAAAUAGAAAAAAAUUUUUGCUUAUUAUUUUAUAAAAAUCAUAUCUUUACUUCCAUAAAUAGUUUUGAAUCAAUAAUUAUUUUAAAUCUUAAAAAUUAGAUAAAUUGAAAGAAAAAUAAAAAAGAAACAAUUAUUUUAAAUUCUCAAGUAUGGUUCGAAUUUGUGAUUCAAGGCAUGUUGCGGAGAGCACAAGACAUGUUUUCCUCAAUUUGAACCAUAUUUCAGGAAUUAAAAUAAUUUCUUCUUUUUUUAUUGUUCUUUCAAUUUAUCUAAUUUUUAAUAUUUAUUUUUAAGAUUUAAAAUAAUUAUUGAUUCAAAACUAUUUAUGGAAGCAAAGAUAUGGUUUUUAUAAAAUAAUAAGCAAAAACUUUUUCUAUUUUUUUGGAUUGCUUCAAGGUUAAUAAAAUAAAAAUAUGUUCUUGUUUUAAUGCAACAUGGUCUCAAUAAGGGCAUUUUCGGCAUUAAGGGAAUUUUUGUUAAAUGUUUGAUCAUUCAAAGGGUGAGACCGUUAUUUGGACAAAUUAUAGGGAUUGAUUGGUAAUAUGGUCAAACCUCAGGGGAAGUAAAUGUAAUUAACCCUUAAUUUUGUCAUGUUAGAGACAGCACUUGAUGUAAUUAAUAAUCUGCAACUCCAUUGACAUGAAAAUACAACGAAACUGAAAUUGAGGAAAAUCCCAAGACGUUGGUUAGGUACUUAGUUUUAAUUUUCUUACACUUUCCCCAUCUCAUUCGGGAUAAUUAAAGCCUGAAACACAUAUUUUGACUCACUCUUUCUUCGUAUUAUUAAAAUUUCAUAUUCACUUCUUCUUCCUCCUCGUCCUCUGCCUCUUCCUCUUCUUCUUCUUCUUUCUCUUCUCCUUCUCCUCUCUAUCUCUCUCUUUUUCUACUCCCUUCCCAAAACAGCAGCAUGUGUUAUAUAACUUGAACCAAAUAUACACUCAGUUGACAACUGCCACAAUUUCAUUCUGUACCUUCGAUUCAAGUCACAAAAGGAGAGUAUUCUUGACCUAAUGGCGUUAUGCAUGUUAGUGAUAAAUCUUGCCAAGUUACCCUAACAUCAUCCCCCUCUCUUCUAAUAAAAAGGUGAGGUCCUUGUAUCCUCAUGCGAAAUGUCCAAUAGUUAACAUUUCUUGACCGUGUAAUUAAACGUACUCUUCAUAUGCGUGGUUAAAUCGAACUGAUUUAUACUGGCGAAGUAAAAGUAGUGACAUCCUGCAUUAGCAAUAUUUACAAUAAAACUGUCACUAAUGUUUGAGACCUCAAUCGUCACGCACCUCUCCCCUAGGAAAAACUAGCAAGCACAAAGUACCAAAGAAGAAUAGAAGAUAGAAGAAAAGGCAAAAACUAUUAGCAUUCUACCAUUGCAUAUCAUCACAAGCUAUUUAAUUCUGACGAUCUGGGUCCACUUUUUCAGAUUAAUCAUCCCCAUUCAUACUUAUUUGCAGUUGGGAAGGAGACGGAUCUACAACAACAUAUUAAUUACAUAUCCUCUACUCAUCGCUACAGUUGUGGUCUGUCGAGUUGACACUUUUUUCACUUUUAUUAAGGAGUAGCUUUUAACUCAUUACUUAUUCUUUUUCAAUUGAGUUCUUAUUAACGAUAAAACUGAGUGAUAUUGGAGAUAAACACUAGCAUACCAAUACAUUUUUCUUUGAAAAAAGAAUGAAUCAAGUUAGUAAAUGCAACCAAGCUUGAGUACUAUUUCGCAGUGAUUGGCAAAAGAUUAACACUCAACUUCAAAUCUGUCCUAAUACUAUCUUUUUAAUUCUAGAUUUGGUCUCACGCUCCUUCUUUUCAGGUAUAUACACUCAUCCCUUGCCUCAGCCACCAAAAAGUAGGACCGAAUUUAUUGGAGGAGAAGGGCCACUGAAUCUGUGAUUUUAAACUCAGACCGGACUGGCCAGUCGAACUGGGAACCUGCCAAGUGUCCAGUUCAAGUUACUCUAAAAAAUUGGGUGUAUAAAAACUCGGUCAAACCUGGCAAAAAAUCAGGUUUGACCAGAAAAUUGGAUGAACCGAUUUGAUGUCAAGCUUUUUUUUUUUAAAAGCUCAAAGCAUUUCAAUAUUAUGUUUUGCCUCCUAGGUUGUUAAAAAUUAUUAGUAUAUCUCAAAUAUUUCAUACUUUAUAAAUGUUGUCCUAAAGUUUGGUGUUAUUUUUCAAUCAAAUCCAUAAUUUUAAUUCUAAACUUGUUAAUGUUCAUUUAAUAAUAUAAAUUGCUACUUGAUCAUUCUAAUUUCUUUGUAUUUUCUUAUUAUAUAUAUUUGAAACAUUAAAUGUAUAUGAAUAUACAUUUAUUAAUAUUAAAAUGCUCUUAAGUAUUUUACAUAUAAUAUUUUAAUUUUUAAAUAAUUUUUAUUUAUAACGUCAUCCAAUUCAACUACGAUCGACUCCAUUAACCCUUGACUCCUGACCCUUAAGUUUGACCGAGUCGAUGCCCGAUUCGAGUCUGAAAACAUAGCACUGAAUAAGUGCUUUCAGUGCCAUGGUUAUAAAUCCCGGCCCGGCUCAGCCACAGAUGGGGUUGGACUGCUAAUUAAAUCAAUUGUGUGACAACCCCACCUUCCCCUAAGGCGAACCAAAGGGGUUAGCGGACUGCCUGCCCAACUCUCGCCAGGAUUAACGGUUCAGUUUAAAGCGGUCUAACGUUCCGGAGCUUACAACCGCGCGUAAACAAGUCAAAAUGUCAAAUAAAAAAAAAAUGAAAUCGGAAACGGCCAUGAAUAGUAACCGACACGUCUGAACCCAACCAAACGUUGAGCAAAUAUUCACAUCUCGAAAUUAAUCAUAUACAACCCAAAGGGGCAUACAAAAGUUAGUCAAAAGUGAAUACAUGUACGGUUUGCCAAAUCAAAAGAGAAACGGACUCAAAAAUACAUUUAGGGUUUCAAUCCAUGAGCUAUACAAAAGAUAUGUCCAUCUAACUCAAUUCGGCAACCAACUAUCAAAUCCAAUCCAAAAAGGAUUUAUUUUCCUGUAAGGAAAACAAAAGGAACAGAAAGGGGUGAGUUUGCGCUCAAUGAGGUACCAGACAAAUAACAGUAAAAUCAUGGCAUUUUACAUUUAACAAAUCAGGUACACAUGCCAGAUGUAAGUAAAAGAACCAAUGAUUCAAAUAGGAAGGAUACAGAUGGCUCUCAUGAGCCAAAUUCCUAUUCGCGUCACCGAAGCUUGAUCAAAAUAAUAGUUGACACUCCGUUAACGCUAAAGGAGUAACCAAUACCGUAGACCCCACUUUCUCCAAUUCCUUCCACCUCACAUACCCCUACCGGCCCCGCAAACCAAUCAGAUCAGAAAUGGUAAUACUCAAGUAUACCCGGAAUCAAAGGUUUCACUACCCAAAGAUCUCAAAACAGACUACCGUGGUUCGUUAUCUAAUCGACUAGACCCUUGCCGGUCCGACUCGAGUAACUUGCCACAGGGGUUGAGCUCAGAGGUCACAGAAAGGUCGUUGGAUACAAGUUUCCAAACGACGUCCGAACAAAUACAGAUACAGAUACAGAUAUCAGAUACAGAUUCAGAUAUCAGAUACAGAUUCAGAUUCAGAUUCGCCCCAAAAUUGGCAUAUAAACAGACAAGAGAACGAGUGUGAUAAAGUACACUCUCGUCUCAAACAAAUUAAACAGAUGGUGCAGUCAUUUAAAUCACAGAUUGCAGGGCAGAAAUCAAGUUAAACAGCAAUGGAGGGGAGUGGUACACUCACCGGUGUCAGUACAGAUACCUCAAAAGUUUGGGCUUUAGUCACCAAGAAACCCUAAAAUAACCAAGGUAAAACAAUUAUGGUUCCCACUUUCACAAAUCCAGUACACGAAAUGCAUAACUAAGACUUAAUUAUAAGUCGUGUGUCGAUCACUUUAACUACCAGUGCAAAGAAAUAACAAUGAAAUUGGAGAAAAAGGUAGCGGUUGGUAUCAAAAACAUGAACAACCCUCAAACCCUUCGCUCAAAUCACAAGUAAAUCCAACUAGCCUUCAAGUAAAAAUUUUGGCAGCAAGUCCCUUGUGUUUACCUAUUUUCCAACCAUUAAUGGUUUCAUUAUUUCCUCAAAUCAGUUUCAAUAUCUCAUACAAAAAAUAAUCUCAUUUCCAAAAGCCGUUCACUAAGUUUAAAGUCAUUCAAGUACAAAAUUUAGCUAGGAAAAUAACUGGAAACGAAAGUCAAGCCCUAAAACUAUUCAAAUAACCACAAUAAGACUCGCUUACAAGUCAUAAACCAAUUCCAGAUACCACCAAAAUAGGGCUCCAUAAGCAUACAUAAGCAUUAGAGGAAACCAGAAAAAUCCGGAAAUGUAGUUAAGCGUUAACCCGAAAAAAAUAGUUUUUGACGUCAUUAUGCGGUUUUGGUACCAAUGGCACUACGAUUAUCGGAUGAAGGUGCGAGACCCACCGUUUCGAAACUAAGAGAUAGGGUUACAAUAUUGCAGAAGGUCACUCAGCUCAAUUUUGAGUGUAACCAGGUCAAAAAUACAAGAUACUACACCAGAACUGGAAAAACAGAUUCAUAAAACGCAUUCUGGUUCAAACAUCAUAAGUCAGCCUACCUAAGUCCAAAUCCAGUAAUUCCAAAGCCAUCCGAAAGCUAAGAAAUAGGGCUACAAUACAUCAGAAGACCGUAACAACCAAUUCCAAAGCAUUCUCAACCAAAAUAACCCAUUACAGAAGCAAUUCCCAAAUUCGGGUAAAACCAGGACAACAAGGGUAAUUUCGACUUUUCUCAAGCCACGCUACUCCGAUUGACCUAAAAUUUUGUAGGGACCCCUAAAAUGUCAUUUCCUACAACUUUCAUGUUUUAACCCAAAACCAAUUCGGCCUCUAACCAUGAGCUACAAAAUCGGGCAGAAUGUAUAACUUUGAAACCCUGUUUUUUCAAUUUUCUUCCAAAACAGAAAUUGCUUGCAAUUAACCACUUUUCCCACCUCCUAGUUUCAUUGCAUACCAAUUCCAAUCAUCAUACAUGCCCACAUAAUCAUAUUCAUAUGAAAACAGAAAAAUCCCCAAUAAUUACAAAAUUUCACCAAUUCAACCAAAAAUCAAGAUAUAAUCCAUAAAAGUGCAUCUUAUACUACCACCAAUCAUGAAUUAAGCAUUAUUAGAGGGAGGAAAGGGGUCCUUAACUACUCACAUUGGCAACACAAGAGAGAGAGCAACUAAUCCCUUUAGCCUUCCAAACAACUCCACAAAACACCUCACUAUCACUCCCUUAAGUGUUUCUAUGAAGCAAAAGCAAGAUUAAAUGGUUGAGUUCUUGGAUUUGAGCAAGAGUAGAGCUAAGAAUUUGGAGAGGUUUUCUUUCUUUCUUCCUUGGAGAGAGCCGACUUCAAGAGCUUGAAAUAAGGGUGAAUUUUGGUAAUUUUUGUUUUAUUGGUUUAGUUGGUCAAAUGGUAAAAGAAUGAAUAGUGGUCUUACAGCAAGAUUGAAUCAUAUGGUGACACUUGUCACCCUAAUUAAUGCAUCUCUAUCUCUUUGUUUCCUCUCUCACCAAUCCACUUGGGUAACCUCUAAUUAUCUCUUAGUACCUGAUAAUUUAAUUCCAGUAUCCAAAACUUAACCUAGUUGGCCGAAUUUUUCCGAACUUUUCGUCCUAGUGAGUCCCACAUCCGGUAUACACUCUUAAUUUCUCAAAAACUAUUCGAUACUAGAAAAAUCACUUAAAAACUCUAUUUACUCAUAAAAAUUAUCUAGAAAUUUUUCCUAAGCAAGAAAAUGCAGAAAACAUGCCAUUAAAGAUAAUAAAACCUAAAAAUUUGAAAAGUUACGGGUUCUCACAAGUUGAGUAACAAAUUCGUUGACCAAUCAAUGAUCCAAUAGUUCAAUUAAGAACUAAAAAAAAUCGCCGGUUAAACCACUAACUUAAACAUUUUACUAUUUUUAUAAUUUAAAAUAUAUUAUUAUAUUAUAUAAUAUAAUUAUUGUGCAACUGACGAUUGAACCAAUGAUUUGAUCACUCUUCAAAUUGAGAUUGGGAUUGGGUUUAAUGACUAUGUUCAGAUCUAUAUAUUUAUAUGGGAGACAUAUGAGUUUUCUCAUUCCGAUUCCUUUCAGCUUUCAAGAGUAGCGUUCUAGCUAAGCCAAAAGUAUGUGAACUAGCACUAGACAUUACUUUUCCGAAAGGUUUGGUAUGCUGAACUUGAACAUGCACCCUGACGAAUUACAACUAUAACAACAGUUAGCUCAUGAAAGUAUCAGCAAAGCAGAUUGAACCCAAUGGCGGUCAAGAUGAUCAAUCGUCAGUUGGUGCAAGAGCAAACAAACGGUAAAGGCGUGCCCCCUUAUUCUUAUGUGUGUUGAAAGUUGGAAUCAUUGCCCACUUGUGGCCAAAUUACUUCAUGUGUCAAAUAUUUGCAAUUAAGGAAUCAUAGACAACAGAAAGUUGGAAUACAUAUUAUUGUUGACUAUAGAAAUUCCAUACCUAUUGCUGGACCACUCAAUGGGUAUCUUGAUCCGAUUAUGCAAGACUUUUCUUGGAAUUAUAACAAGCACUGAAAAUUACAACUAAUACUCCUUAGUCAAGGAGCAUGCAUGCAGCAUACCUUUUCUGAAUUUUCUAUGCUCCCCACUUAAUGGUUACUGUAUUACUGAAAAGAUAAUGACGUACAACAAAUAUAAAUAUUAAUGAAGAACAUAGAGACGUAAUUAAACUGCACUAAAAAAAACUGCACUAAUGAAUCGUGGACAAAUAAAUUCUGAGCCACUCAAGCACGAGAAAUCAAAUUGUAGGGUUUGGAUUACCUGUCAUUUGUGAAUAAUGUGUGUUCCACGAUUCUGUGCUAGUACAAUUAUUUUUAACUAACAUCAAUGUUGAGUAUUGACAGCUUUGUUUUAAGCAAGUCCUCAUGGAUAACCUCUAUGCCACUAGACAGUGGACUUGGUUGCUAUAAAUAGCGCAACAAGCUCAAUUAUAAGUUACCAACUAGCAAAUGAAACAUAUAUGCUAGUAGCAAAUUUCUGAUAGCUGAUUGAGUAGAUGGCUGCAGAUGCUGGAAAUGUAUACGUUAACAUGGAAGAAGAAAGCCAAGCUGCUGGAAAUAGAAUGCAACCUAUGUCUACUACUCCCGUGUAAGUAUCUCUUAACUUCCACUACUACUACCACUUGCACUUAAUUAAUUUGUCUGGUCUCCAUGUUUAGUCUUUAUCAGCUUUAUUCAAAAACUUCCUGGCUGGCUUCUUGCACGAAUUUGCGUCAUAUUUUUUUGCAGACCAGCACAGUGGACUGCUGAUGAAAAGAAGCAAACAGCUUUCAGUCUGAGUGAAAGGCUAGGCUUGGACGAGUUUCUCUCCUUAAAUGUUAGUGAUGCUCUUUCAACGGACUGACCCGUUUUUCAGUUCAAGACUACAAGCUCUGUUCUGGUUCUUCACGAGAAUAAGGAUUGGAAUUGUAUGCUACGGAGGAAACAUAACUCAAAUGCUAUGGCAUACAAUUCCAGUUCUCUCAUAAAGAACCAAACACAAGACAAUAUUUCUUUUGCUGGUGUGAUCGAUCAAAUUUCACGUUGGGUUGAUAUAUAACUUGGUGCAGGUCUGGAGAGCAGCUCUAGGGGAACUUCUUGGCACAGCAGUUUUGGUCUUCAUGUUUGACACCAUUGUCAUAUCAACCCUCGAGACCGAUGUGAAAAUGCCAAACCUGAUUUUGUCAAUUCUCCUGGCCAUUAUCAUCGCAAUUCUUCUACUAGCCGUGGAUCCAGUAUCUGGAGGCCACAUAAACCCCAUCGUCUCAUUCUCUGCGGGAUUGAUCGGUCUAAUCUCAAUGUCGCGUGCCAUAAUCUAUAUCAUCGCUCAAUGUGCG